UACGUAGGGUCCGAGCGUUGUCCGGAAUUAUUGGGCGUAAAGAGCUCGUAGGCGGUUUGUCGCGUCUGCUGUGAAAUCCCGAGGCUCAACCUCGGGCCUGCAGUGGGUACGGGCAGACUGGAGUGCGGUAGGGGAGAAUGGAAUUCCUGGUGUAGCGGUGGAAUGCGCAGAUAUCAGGAGGAACACCGGUGGCGAAGGCGCCACUCUGGGCCGAAACUGACGCUGAGGAGCGAAAGCGUGGGGAGCGAACAGG
RNAcentral lists this ribosomal RNA (253 nucleotides) under uncultured bacterium. RNAcentral's name for it is "partial 16S ribosomal RNA". It matches the Rfam family "Bacterial small subunit ribosomal RNA", at positions 524 to 776 of the family's 1533-position model. The record is from RNAcentral.